This is a long non-coding RNA of Myotis davidii, 193 nucleotides long. RefSeq lists it as uncharacterized. The transcript is spliced from 2 exons. NCBI's taxonomy places the organism in Eukaryota, Metazoa, Chordata, Mammalia, Chiroptera, Vespertilionidae. The record is from RefSeq and is a predicted model, not a curated record.
UAUGUCUUCUCUCUCAUUUGUAAGUAUAUUGUUCUAAAAUAAUCUCAGAUCUUUUAUUUUUUAACUAUAUUUUGAAGUAAACAAAAAGUUACACAAGUUGUAUAUAAAAAGUUCAAUAAAUUUGCUCAGGUGAACAAACCUAUGUAAUCCACACUCACAUCAAGAAAAAGAACAUGACCAGCAUCUCAGAGUC